RNAcentral lists this ribosomal RNA (668 nucleotides) under Pseudovibrio sp. AU401_Ted1_MB20. RNAcentral's name for it is "bacterial SSU rRNA". It matches the Rfam family "Bacterial small subunit ribosomal RNA", at positions 67 to 778 of the family's 1533-position model. The record is from RNAcentral. Lineage: Bacteria; Pseudomonadati; Pseudomonadota; Alphaproteobacteria; Hyphomicrobiales; Stappiaceae.
CGGAUCCUUCGGGAUUAGUGGCAGACGGGUGAGUAACGCGUGGGAAGCUACCUUGUGGUAGGGGACAACAGUUGGAAACGACUGCUAAUACCCUAUGAGCCCUAUGGGGGAAAGAUUUAUCGCCAUGAGAUGUGCCCGCGUUAGAUUAGCUAGUUGGUAAGGUAAUGGCUUACCAAGGCGACGAUCUAUAGCUGGUCUGAGAGGAUGAUCAGCCACACUGGGACUGAGACACGGCCCAGACUCCUACGGGAGGCAGCAGUGGGGAAUAUUGGACAAUGGGGGCAACCCUGAUCCAGCCAUGCCGCGUGUGUGAUGACGGCCUUAGGGUUGUAAAGCACUUUCAGCAGUGAAGAUAAUGACAUUAACUGCAGAAGAAGCCCCGGCUAACUUCGUGCCAGCAGCCGCGGUAAUACGAAGGGGGCUAGCGUUGUUCGGAAUCACUGGGCGUAAAGAGUACGUAGGCGGACUGAUAAGUUAGGGGUGAAAUCCCAAGGCUCAACCUUGGAACUGCCUUUGAUACUGUCAGUCUUGAGAUCGAGAGAGGUGAGUGGAACUCCGAGUGUAGAGGUGAAAUUUCGUAGAUAUUCGGAAGAACACCAGUGGCGAAGGCGGCUCACUGGCUCGAUACUUGACGCUGAGGUACGAAAGCGUGGGGGAGCAAACAGGGA